This is a long non-coding RNA of Magnolia sinica, 719 nucleotides long. RefSeq lists it as uncharacterized. The transcript is spliced from 3 exons. Lineage: Eukaryota; Viridiplantae; Streptophyta; Magnoliopsida; Magnoliales; Magnoliaceae. The record is from RefSeq and is a predicted model, not a curated record.
UUUUAUAUACUUUUUUUUUUCUUUUCGGAUUUCAGCGUUGUGGAUCCUCUAAUGGCGGAUUCUGAUAACAUGAUCAUGAGUGGAAGACAAACCCCACCCAAUGGGAAUCAGUUAUGCAAAAUCAUUCUUUUUUGAAAUGGGUUUGUGUAGAUUCAAGUUUUUCAAGCUGGGCCACUCCAUCCAUAGCCCAGAGUGAGCGAUUUUCUUUUUUUUUUUUUUAAUAUAUUUUGAGUGUUAUAAUAUCUGUUGAUUCUGCCCUCUUCCGCUUUCGGGCAUGUAUGGAUGUGCUAUGGAAUUGGAUUUCAAUUUUAGUUUGAUAAAUUGAGAUAACCAAAUUAGAGUUUCUCUUGUCAGCAUUCAUGUUGAGGAUCUGGGUUGGUGACUUUGAAAAUUUCUCUUGUCCGAAUACAUUAAGUCUGUGGAGACAAGCGUUUGUUGGUGAAUAAUCCACGGUUUUGAAUGCAUAUAAUGCUGGUGCAAGAAUAGUCAAGGUCAACUUCAUCACUAUAAUGUAAAAUACAUGUUUGAGCUGAUCCCUGACAUUGCGGAGCUCUUCAUCUGCUUGACGACUAUCAUUGAAUUGUCUUUUUAUUUUGAAGUCUUCCAUUGCAGAUUUUAGUUUUUCCUGUCAGGUUUACAAGUCAGAUGAAUAAUGUUUUAGAUUACAUCAUGGUUGUAUUUACCAUCUGUUGAUUCUUAAAUGGAUAUGGCUUCAAAUA